AAGACUAUAGACCUGCGGAGUACCUGCGGAGGGAUCAUUACAGAGUUCAUGCCCCUAUGGGUAGAUCUCCCACCCUUUGUUAUCAUCACCUCUGUUGCUUUGGCGGGCCGUCAGGCCUCGGUCAGACUACCGGCUCCGGCUGGUAAGCGCCCGCCAGAGGACCCUAAACUCUGAAUAUUAGUGUUGUCUGAGUACUAUAUAAUAGUUAAAACUUUUAACAAUGGAUCUCUAGAUCGGAAG
RNAcentral lists this unclassified non-coding RNA (240 nucleotides) under soil metagenome. Its description in RNAcentral is "partial contains 5.8S ribosomal RNA, internal transcribed spacer 2, and large subunit ribosomal RNA". The record is from RNAcentral.